This 253-nucleotide ribosomal RNA is filed under the name uncultured bacterium. RNAcentral's name for it is "partial 16S ribosomal RNA". It matches the Rfam family "Bacterial small subunit ribosomal RNA", at positions 524 to 776 of the family's 1533-position model. The record is from RNAcentral.
UACGAAGGGGGCUAGCGUUGUUCGGAUUUACUGGGCGUAAAGCGCACGUAGGCGGAUCGUUAAGUCGGGGGUGAAAUCCUGGAGCUCAACUCCAGAACUGCCUUCGAUACUGGCGAUCUUGAGUCCGGAAGAGGUGAGUGGAACUCCUAGUGUAGAGGUGGAAUUCGUAGAUAUUAGGAAGAACACCAGUGGCGAAGGCGGCUCGCUGGUCCGGUACUGACGCUGAGGUGCGAAAGCGUGGGGAGCAAACAGG